AAAAAAAAAGAAAAAAAAAAUCCCUGCCCAUCCGAUUUCAUGUUCCCAUUGGAUUCCCAUCGCAAACUGAGCCUUUCUUCAAUGAGGCCAGUCCAAGCAACAGAAACAAAAAGCAAAAAAGCAAAAAAGCAAAAAAUCCAACCACAUCACAGAAAGAAGGAUGAGCUCGCACUUCAAAGCAAAUCCAAAACAGAUUAUGCUUUCCUUCGUUUCUGUCAUCUUUAAUUGCCUGGCAAAAUGGAUGUUUACUGAUUUAAUGGAUAUAUUUUUAAGAUCCGAUCUGAAAGCACGCAAAUGGAGGAGAUCAGGAGAGAUGGAAGCACAGAGAGACGGUGAUAUGGGUCCCACCGAUCCACCGAUAGUAUCACAUCUAAGAUUUUGUGACUGUACCUAACAUUUUGACACACAAGCACAACCACUCGCGGCCAGCCCAGGGGCGGCUUUCCAAUUUUAACGCCGCCGUUUCUGCCCCGGUUGCCUCGGUUUUAGCAGCCUUCACUGUCCCAACUUCACCACUUUCAGGUAAUCUUCAAAUCCUGACCUGGACUUUGCCUGAAAGAUUUGUAAAGAUCUCAAUAUAUUAGAUCCGCAGAAUCUCGACUUUAUCAUCCUCUCUCUCUCUUUCCCGUUUUUCAAACCAAAAGCAAAUCUUUCGCUUUCCUUGUUCGCUCCUUUGCUUGUAUAAAAGCCCCACCUGAACGUCCCUGAUAGGAUGCAUCAAAUCUUUUACAACACACUCUCUCUCUAAGUCUCUCUCUCUUUCCCCUUUCGUGUCACCGCACAUUCGACGGAUACCACCCGCAGAGCAAGAAAAUUUCAUUUGUUUUCGGAUUUCAUGGCGGCUGCCAGUGAGGUUUUGAGGCGGAGUUUGCCGGAGGAGGUUGGAGUUUCCAAUGGGUCAUCUUCGACUUCAGAAGAGCUUCAUGUUCUUGCUGUAGAUGAUAGCCAUGUGGACCGGAAGUUUAUUGAGCAGUUGCUCAAGAUCUCAUCAUGUAAAGUUACGGCUGUCGAGAGUGGGACUAGAGCCCUGCAGUAUCUUGGAUUGGAUGGAGAGAAGAACUCCGUUGGGUUCAACGUAGGGAAAACUACUUUGGUUCAGAAAAUUUUUUCUUAGUUUUCUGUUUGUUUGCUAAGGAAAGGAUUUAGCUGAUAUUCAGUGUUCUGAUGUAUAUGAUGAUGGUGUUGGGUUUGAUUAUAGGACUUGAAAGUGAAUCUUAUCAUGACGGAUUACUCCAUGCCGGGGAUGACAGGAUAUGAACUGCUUAGAAAGAUCAAGGUGGGUGAGAGUAAUUCGUGUCUUUCCAUGAUUUUGAAGAUUUUAUGGAAUACUUACUUGAAAAUAGUAGAGUUAAUGGGUUUUUAAUUCGAAUUUAUGAGCAGGAAUCAUCAGCUUUUAGGGAGAUACCUGUAGUGAUCAUGUCAUCUGAGAACAUUUUGGCUCGAAUUGACAGGUACCAUUUUUUGGCAUACUCUGGAUUUUGGAGCUAGGGAUUGUCGUAUUUGGAAGUAGCUUCUCAAUCAAUACAGGAACAUAUUGUUAUUAGAUUGUCUGUCAGAUGGAUACUUGUGAAUUAUGGACUGGAAUAAAAUCGAAUUCUUUAGAUUUGUAUUUAACUUUAGCAGCCCAUGAUCAUGUACUACCAGCAAUGGCUAAGAAUCUAAUGACAAAUUUGAUUUACAGGUGUUUGGAAGAAGGAGCAGAGGAAUUCAUAGUGAAACCAGUAAAACUAUCUGAUGUGAAACGGCUGAAAGAUUUCAUAAUGAGAGGAGAGGGAGAAGAAAACGGAAAGAGAAGGAUUCUGAAGAGAAAGAUGGAAGAUGAUGUCUUUUCAUUAUCUUCUCAGUUGCCUGCUUCUGAUUUAGUGUCAUCGGAACUGGAGUCUUCAACACCAUCAUCGACCUUGUAUAUAUCUACUAAAAGAACUAAAUUGUUAGAUAGAGACUAAUUUGGUGAUUCACUCAAGUUUUUUUUUUCUUUUUUUUUUGGGUUGUUUUAUCUGGGGAUUGUUGAAAUGUUGAUUGGAUAAUACCCCUUUGGGUUAUUUGCUGUGUAGAAACCUUUGAGGUCAAGUGAAAUUGUCUUCCAUUUUCUGCAGGAUUAUUGAUUGGAAUUUGUCUAUUUUUUGGAGCUAAAUUUGUAGUCAUGGGUUUUAUUCAGAUAGAGUUCCUUUGAGUUUUUCUUUAAAUAUGAUCAAUGAAAAAAAAAAAAAUCUGAUAAGCCCUGUUCUCUUCCCUUAUUCGCAAUAUUUUCUCUUGUACUGGGAUUGGUUUGGUUCAAUUGUUGUUAUUGGACUACAACUUUGCAAAAGUUAAUAUUUUUCUUGUGGCUGGGUUUCGGGUUAUCUGAAACUAAUGAUCUAAAGGAACCACUGAGAAUUUUUAAUUGGUGAGAAUUGGUUGGAGUCUUGGAGAGGAUAGUUCUAAACUUCUAAUUCUGAUCUAACACCAUAAUAGCCAGUUUUAUCCAUAAAUUGGUCAAGUUAUAAGCUUUUCAUCAAUAAUAGUGUUCUUUCCCCAGUGUUUCCAUUGUCUCCCAUUAUUUUUAAUUCAAAACUGUUUUGAGGGCGAGAGUUUUAUUUUCACUUAAGAAAAACGAAAAAGCUUUCAAUUGAAUUUUGUUUUGUUAGAUGCAAGUAUGCUUUUUUAUCAUCAAGCAUUAACUUUGACUGACAAAUUGCAAGACCACUAUUUAGGCUUCCCUUUCAUAUUUUCAUACUUUUGAAUGAUAAUGAUUCAAUGCGUUCAUUUGCAAGCUGAUGGAUUUGGCAUUCUGCCAAAGUAAUCAAAUCCAGCAGUUCAAUCUCUCAUUUGCACAUGCAAACCAGUCCACUGGCUUACAUCUUACUGGUUCCCCAUAUAUAGCUUGGCAUUUAGAAUUGCGAAAAAAAAAAAAAAAGAGAAGCAGAA
This 2907-nucleotide unclassified non-coding RNA is filed under the name Hevea brasiliensis (rubber tree). Lineage: Eukaryota; Viridiplantae; Streptophyta; Magnoliopsida; Malpighiales; Euphorbiaceae. The record is from RNAcentral.